GUGAGGAAUUUUCCGCAAUGGGCGAAAGCCUGACGGAGCAAUGCCGCGUGAAGGAUGAAGGCCUAUGGGUUGUAAACUUCUUUUCUCAGAAAAGAAUUAUGACGGUAUCUGAGGAAUAAGCAUCGGCUAACUCUGUGCCAGCAGCCGCGGUAAGACAGAGGAUGCAAGCGUUAUCCGGAAUGAUUGGGCGUAAAGCGUCUGUAGGUUGUUUAAAAAGUAUUCUGUCAAAGAUUAGGGCUUAACCCUAGAUAGGCAGAAUAAACUUUUAAGAUAGAGUUUGGUAGAGGCAGAGGGAAUUCCCGGUGGAGCGGUGAAAUGCGUAGAUAUCGGGAGGAACACCAAAGGCGAAGGCACUCUGCUGGGCCAAUACUAACACUGAGAGACGAAAGCGAGGGGAGCAAAUGGGAUUAGAUACCCUUGUAGUCC
This 426-nucleotide ribosomal RNA is filed under the name uncultured bacterium. Its description in RNAcentral is "partial 16S ribosomal RNA". It matches the Rfam family "Bacterial small subunit ribosomal RNA", at positions 354 to 796 of the family's 1533-position model. The record is from RNAcentral.